UACAGGGGGUGCAAACGUUGCUCGGAAUCAUUGGGCGUAAAGCGCACGUAGGCGGUCUGUUAUGUCGGAUGUGAAAGCCUUUGGCUUAACUGAGGAAGUGCAUCCGAAACUGGCAGGCUAGAGUACUAAAGAGGGUCGCGGAAUUCCCGGUGUAGAGGUGAAAUUCGUAGAUAUCGGGAGGAACACCGGUGGCGAAGGCGGCGACCUGGGUAGAUACUGACGCUGAGGUGCGAAAGCGUGGGGAGCAAACAGG
This 253-nucleotide ribosomal RNA is filed under the name uncultured bacterium. RNAcentral describes it as "partial 16S ribosomal RNA". It matches the Rfam family "Bacterial small subunit ribosomal RNA", at positions 524 to 776 of the family's 1533-position model. The record is from RNAcentral.